This 1089-nucleotide ribosomal RNA is filed under the name Triticum aestivum (bread wheat). RNAcentral describes it as "partial small subunit ribosomal RNA". The record is from RNAcentral. Lineage: Eukaryota; Viridiplantae; Streptophyta; Magnoliopsida; Poales; Poaceae.
AUGGCACUCACGGCGUUCGAGACCGCGGAGCAGCGCCUGCCGUGCCACGCCGAGCAGGCCGACGCCGGCGGCAAGGUGGCCGCUGCUGCUGCCGCCGAGCAGGCCGUGCCGCUGCAGGAGGCGGACCACGGCGGCCGUCUCGAGAGGGACGACAUAUGGAACAUGAUCCAGUCGCAGAAGCCCGCGGCCCCGGCGUUGACGCCGAAGCAGGCGCCGUACGUGCCGGCCCCCGUGCGCCGCUCCUCCAGCCUGCUCACCCAGAAGAGCCUGGAGAUCUGCACCGAGAGCCUCGGCUCCGAGACUGGCUCCGACGGCUUCUCCGACGCCACCGACCGCUCCUGCCCGGGCUCCGACGACGACGGCGAGGGCGGCGCCAACGGGGUGGCCGCGCGCGCCAUUCCGCCCCGCGCGUUCCCGCCGCCGCUGCCGUCGCUGGCGCGCCGCACCGUGGGGUCGCUGCAGAUGAGGCAGCACCGCCGCGACGGCCGCCUCGUCGUCGAGGCCGUCCCCGUGCUGUCCAACACCCUGUUCCGCUCGCAGCGCCGUGGCGGGCGCCUGCUCCUCUCCUUCGCCGACACCGCCGCCCCCGCCGAGGACGAGGGGAAGAACCACGCCCAGGAAGCCGAUCAGCAGCAGGCCGACGAGCAGACCCACGAGGAGGAGGAGGACGAUGACGGCGAGGAGGAGGUCCAGGUCGUGGACAGAGGCACCGUCGUCGAGGUCAAGGUCAGCACGCAGCCCCAGGCGCACAACAGUGGGGCGCGGGUGCACCGCUCCUCGCUCGUCAUCAACAAGUUCGUCGGCGCCGAGCCCGUCAACGCCUCCGAGAUCAAUGACACCGCCGCUGCACCGCAGCAGCCACCCAAGCCUCCGAGCAGUUCGGAGGCCGGAGCUCCGGCUGUAAGCGCGACUGCGACACUGCCUGACCCGGAAGAUGACGGCACUGCUGCCACGCCCUGCGAGGGCAAGGUGCUGAUGACGAUGAGGAGGCGGCGGAGCAAGCAGGAGCUGCUCAACCACAUGCGCCGGUGCGGCCAGCUGAGCGGGCAGCUCUUCAUAUGGGAGCCGCGCGUCGCCACCUCCUCCUGA